RNAcentral lists this ribosomal RNA (565 nucleotides) under uncultured Glomeromycotina. RNAcentral's name for it is "SSU rRNA". It matches the Rfam family "Eukaryotic small subunit ribosomal RNA", at positions 548 to 1114 of the family's 1831-position model. Lineage: Eukaryota; Fungi; Glomeromycota. The record is from RNAcentral.
UUGGAGGGCAAGUCUGGUGCCAGCAGCCGCGGUAAUUCCAGCUCCAAUAGCGUAUAUUAAAGUUGUUGCAGUUAAAAAGCUCGUAGUUGAAUUUCGGGGUCAGUAGGUUGGUCAUGCCACUGGUAUGUACUGGUCUCACUGAUUCCUCCUUCCUGAUGAACUGUAAUGCCAUUAAUUUGGUGUUGCAGGGAAUCUGGACUGUUACUUUGAAAAAAUUAGAGUGUUUAAAGCAGGCUAACGCCUGAAUACAUUAGCAUGGAAUAAUGAAAUAGGACGUUCGAUCCUAUUUUGUUGGUUUCUAGGAUUGACGUAAUGAUUAAUAGGGAUAGUUGGGGGCAUUAGUAUCCAAUUGUCAGAGGUGAAAUUCUUGGAUUUAUUGAAGACUAACUACUGCGAAAGCAUUUGCCAAGGAUGUUUUCAUUAAUCAAGAACGAAAGUUAGGGGAUCGAAGACGAUCAGAUACCGUCGUAGUCUUAACCAUAAACUAUGCCGACUAGGGAUCGGAUGAUGUUAAUUUUUUAAUGACUCAUUCGGCGCCUUACGGGAAACCAAAGUGUUUGGGUUC